UACAGAGGGUGCGAGCGUUAAUCGGAUUUACUGGGCGUAAAGGGUGUGUAGGUGGCUGCGCAAGUCGGUUGUGAAAUCCCCGGGCUCAACCUGGGAACUGCUUCCGGAACUGCGUAGCUAGAGUACGGUAGAGGGUGGCGGAAUUUCCGGUGUAGCGGUGAAAUGCGUAGAUAUCGGAAGGAACAUCAAUGGCGAAGGCAGCCGCCUGGGCCUGUACUGACACUGAGACACGAAAGCGUGGGGAUCAAACAGG
This 253-nucleotide ribosomal RNA is filed under the name uncultured prokaryote. RNAcentral's name for it is "partial 16S ribosomal RNA". It matches the Rfam family "Bacterial small subunit ribosomal RNA", at positions 524 to 776 of the family's 1533-position model. The record is from RNAcentral.